CGGAGGGUGCAAGCGUUAUCCGGAUUCACUGGGUUUAAAGGGUGCGUAGGCGGGCAGGUAAGUCAGUGGUGAAAUCUCCGGGCUUAACCCGGAAACUGCCGUUUGAUACUAUCUGUCUUGAAUAUCGUGGAGGUAAGCGGAAUAUGUCAUGUAGCGGUGAAAUGCUUAGAUAUGACAUAGAACACCGAUUGCGAAGGCAGCUUACUACACGAUCAUUGACGCUGAGGCACGAAAGCGUGGGGAGCAAACAGGAUUAGAUACCCUGGUAGUCCACGCCCUAAACGAUGGAUACUCGACAUCAGCGAUACACUGUUGGUGUCUGAGCGAAAGCAUUAAGUAUCCCACCUGGGAAGUACGACCGCAAGGUUG
This 369-nucleotide ribosomal RNA is filed under the name uncultured organism. RNAcentral's name for it is "bacterial SSU rRNA". It matches the Rfam family "Bacterial small subunit ribosomal RNA", at positions 526 to 896 of the family's 1533-position model. The record is from RNAcentral.